Molecule: ribosomal RNA, 429 nt
Filed under: Gemmatimonadota bacterium
Lineage: Bacteria; Pseudomonadati; Gemmatimonadota
Description: Gemmatimonadetes bacterium partial 16S ribosomal RNA
Rfam family: Bacterial small subunit ribosomal RNA
Source: RNAcentral
UAGGGAAUCUUCGGCAAUGGACGAAAGUCUGACCGAGCAACGCCGCGUGAGUGAAGAAGGUUGUCGGAUCGUAAAACUCUGUUGUUAGAGAAGAACAAGGACGUUAGUAACUGAACGUCCCCUGACGGUAUCUAACCAGAAAGCCACGGCUAACUACGUGCCAGCAGCCGCGGUAAUACGUAGGUGGCAAGCGUUGUCCGGAUUUAUUGGGCGUAAAGCGAGCGCAGGCGGUUUCUUAAGUCUGAUGUGAAAGCCCCCGGCUCAACCGGGGAGGGUCAUUGGAAACUGGGAGACUUGAGUGCAGAAGAGGAGAGUGGAAUUCCAUGUGUAGCGGUGAAAUGCGUAGAUAUAUGGAGGAACACCAGUGGCGAAGGCGGCUCUCUGGUCUGUAACUGACGCUGAGGCUCGAAAGCGUGGGGAGCAAACAGG